Long non-coding RNA from Clupea harengus (Atlantic herring), 1149 nucleotides. The record is from Ensembl. Lineage: Eukaryota; Metazoa; Chordata; Actinopteri; Clupeiformes; Clupeidae.
CAGCGCGUGGAUCGCCGGUGGCGGGCAGGCAGGCAGGCAGGGAUGAUGGGGGGGAUAGAACGUUGGAGCUAGAGCGAGCGCAGAGUGGGAGGGUCGAACGCGCGCUCUGCUCGGAGUGGGUUUGGCCAAGUGACAAUGUAAAUCGCUGCCAAGCUGAGUCUAGUGUUUCUCGCUUCGAGGUGGAGAGAGAGAAUAACUUCUUACGAGCGUUUAUUUCUGUAGCCGAUUACGAGCAGAGGAUAAUAGCACAACGAUAAAGUAGUUUUUUUGGCAAAGGGAGCAGCAGUUGUAAUUGUUAAGACGUGGAAUCUGGGCUUUAAAAAUCGACUUUUCCCGAGUUGCUCCGGGGUCGAAGAUCGGACGACUGCGGUGCGUGUGGAAGUUAGAUUCGGGUCGGAGGAGGAGCGGCUAGCGUUACCCUGGUAUCUGCUCUGUCGGAUUAACAUACUCCAAGGUGAGAAUUAAUUGUUUUGAUUGGUUGAGCAGAGUGUUCCAGAGUGUUCCGGCAGGACUUGGGUCCUCAGAACUCAUAAGAACCCAGACGAGAGAACACCCAACCCGGCGGAACACGCUCCUGGAACGCUAAGGAACUAGAGGACGGGACGGGAGAGAGGGAACGCCGGCGGGAAAGAGGCAAACGCCGACGGAGAGAGGAGUAAAUCUGUCCAUUCUGGGAUCUAGAAGCCAACGGGCAGAGACUGGAGGAAAGCCUCACUGAAUCAACAGACACACACACACACACACACACACACACACACACACACACACUCACACACACACACACACACACACACACACACACACACACACACACGUACACACACACUCCUGUCGUUCCACUUGCAAGCUGGUGCUGGUGGUCCAUGUGUGUGUGUGCUGCUGCGUGAAUGUGUGUGUGUGAGGGGAACCCUUCAUCGGAGAGUAGAGCAGAAGAACGGCAUUGUGGGAUAGGUGCCAUUCCUCCUGUGGGCUGCAUGGAGGUGUGACCGAGGGGCGGAGACUCUGCAGAGGGGCGGAGACUCGACAGACCACGCCUCCCGGGUGCUUUGCAUGAUGGGAAAGGAACAGGAGCUGUUGCAGGCGGUGAAGAAUGGAGACCUGUUCUCAACUCAGAAACUCCUGGCCAAGCUGAAGGCCAGUCGCAACAGU